RNAcentral lists this microRNA precursor (61 nucleotides) under Magallana gigas (Pacific oyster). RNAcentral describes it as "Mgi-Mir-1993_pre stem-loop". The record is from RNAcentral. Lineage: Eukaryota; Metazoa; Mollusca; Bivalvia; Ostreida; Ostreidae.
UCGGGAAUAGCAGUAAAAUGCAUUGAAGUAUACAUCCUGUAUUAUGCUGUUAUUCACGAGA